Molecule: unclassified non-coding RNA, 377 nt
Filed under: uncultured Gammaproteobacteria bacterium
Lineage: Bacteria; Pseudomonadati; Pseudomonadota; Gammaproteobacteria
Description: contains 16S-23S intergenic spacer region
Source: RNAcentral
UCCGGCUUAUCACCGGCAGUUUCUUUAGAGUGCUCAACUAAAUGGUAGCAACUAAAGACGAGGGUUGCGCUCGUUGCGGGACUUAACCCAACAUCUCACGACACGAGCUGACGACAGCCAUGCAGCACCUGUGUUACGGCUCUCUUUCGAGCACGCCCUCAUCUCUGAAGGCUUCCGUACAUGUCAAGGGUAGGUAAGGUUAUUCGCGUUGCAUCGAAUUAAUCCACAUCAUCCACCGCUUGUGCGGGUCCCCGUCAAUUCCUUUGAGUUUUAAUCUUGCGACCGUACUCCCCAGGCGGUCAACUUCACGCGUUAGCUGCGGUACUGAGAAAUUGCUUCCCCAACACCUAGUUGACAUAGUUUAGGGCGUGGACUAC